CGGCAAACGGGUGCGGAGCACGUACACAACCUUCCGAGAAGUGGGGAAUAGCCCAGAGAAAUUUGGAUUAACACCCCGUAACAUAACGAUGUGGCAUCACAUUGUUAUUAUAGCUUCGGCGCUUCUUGAUGGGUGUGCGGCUGAUUAGAUAGUUGGCGGGGUAACGGCCCACCAAGUCUACGAUCAGUAGCUGAUGUGAGAGCAUGAUCAGCCACACGGGCACUGAGACACGGGCCCGACUCCUACGGGAGGCAGCAGUAAGGAAUAUUGGUCAAUGGACGCAAGUCUGAACCAGCCAUGCCGCGUGAAGGAUUAAGGUCCUCUGGAUUGUAAACUUCUUUUAUCUGGGACGAAAAAAGGCGAUUCUUCGUCACUUGACGGUACCAGAUGAAUAAGCACCGGCUAACUCCGUGCCAGCAGCCGCGGUAAUACGGAGGGUGCAAGCGUUAUCCGGAUUCACUGGGUUUAAAGGGUGCGUAGGCGGGCAGGUAAGUCAGUGGUGAAAUCCUAGAGCUUAACUCUAGAACUGCCAUUGAUACUAUCUGUCUUGAAUAUUGUGGAGGUAAGCGGAAUAUGUCAUGUAGCGGUGAAAUGCUUAGAUAUGACAUAGAACACCUAUUGCGAAGGCAGCUUACUACGCAUAUAUUGACGCUGAGGCACGAAAGCGUGGGGAUCAAACAGGAUUAGAUACCCUGGUAGUCCACGCCCUAAACGAUGAUUACUCGACAUUUGUGAUACACUAUAAGUGUCUGAGCGAAAGCAUUAAGUAAUCCACCUGGGAAGUACGACCGCAAGGUUGAAACUCAAGGAAUUGGCGGGGGUCCGCACAAGCGGUGGAGCAUGUGGUUUAAUUCG
Molecule: ribosomal RNA, 855 nt
Filed under: uncultured bacterium
Lineage: Bacteria
Description: bacterial SSU rRNA
Rfam family: Bacterial small subunit ribosomal RNA
Source: RNAcentral